UCGCUUUAUUCAACCACGUAUCGCGUUUUCCUUAUUUCAGUCUUAAAUCGAUUGCGACAUCGCCAGUCUUGGUUGUCCUGAAUUUAUAUAUGUUGAAGAUCUUUAAAGUGUUGGGUUCUAACGAACGUUGUGAUCAGGAGAUAAACGAGAUAAGAUUAUUACAACAUUUACGUGAAAUUGAGAAUGGAUAUACCUAAAGAUUGCUUCUCACGAAUUGGAAGAGAUUGGGUUUGAGAAAUAUUUCAACGAAGUCUUAAAUAUCGCAAUGAGCUUCUGAAAAUGCAGAUGAAUGAGAUAAAACAUUAUUACGACUUGAGUAUAUAACAUCAAUAAUAGUUAUUCAUGUAUGUACGCAUGUCGUCAGUAUAGAGAAAUCCAUAAGGAAAUGAUGGAAUCAAGGAGAAAAAUUAAAGACGUUCAACAUAAUCUUUUUAAAGUGACAAAGAAACAAUUACAUCAUUAAUUGGAAUGCGGAUGAACUCAGUAAGAGGCGAUGUUUUCAUUUCUGGAGGAUGAUAAAGAGAUUGCGAAGCUUUGUAGAGUGUUUUGAGUUUGAUUCUAGAAGACGAUGCCUCAAUUGCCUUGUCCAUUGGUUGAAUUCGUUGGAGUGAUGAAGUUGUUCUUCUUGGAGGUUAUAAUUAUAUGGAAAAAUUCAAUAUUGGAUGAAUGGCUUGACUGUGAUCUUACCUGUAUUACAGUCAUACAUGACUGUCAGACAUGUAACAUCACAGUCUUGUCAACCAUGUCAUGAAAGAGAAGUUUGUGUUGUGCUAUUAUUACAAGAGAUACAAUUGUGGUCAUGGAGAAUAAAUUGAACGUUAUGGCUAAGUUCAAAAUUAUUUGUUGGGCUCUAGCAUUUAUAUCGAGAAUCCAUUUCAGGCCUGGCACUUCAUUGGCAACAAUAUUGAUAAAUUGAACAUUAUAAGUUAGUGGAGUGUUAUGAAAUGGGAAGUUAUUCCUGGCAGGCAUAUGGUCCUUCAAUGAACCGACAACACUUGUUCUUCUGAAAAUGUGACCUGCAAAUUUUUUGUGAUUUAUAACACUUUAUCUUCAACACUCUCAGCUGCCCAAACCUACCAAUCUGUAUUGCAUAUCAGUGCUUAGUUUAAUUAUUGUUCAUGUGAAAAUAUGUAAGAUUUUUGCAAUUUUUAACAUUUUAGCUUUAGUACUAAGCUGUAAAUAAAGCAAAUUUGUGAAUCUUAA
Long non-coding RNA from Xenia sp. Carnegie-2017, 1203 nucleotides. RefSeq lists it as uncharacterized. The record is from RefSeq and is a predicted model, not a curated record. NCBI's taxonomy places the organism in Eukaryota, Metazoa, Cnidaria, Anthozoa, Malacalcyonacea, Xeniidae. The transcript is spliced from 2 exons.